This 253-nucleotide ribosomal RNA is filed under the name uncultured bacterium. Its description in RNAcentral is "partial 16S ribosomal RNA". It matches the Rfam family "Bacterial small subunit ribosomal RNA", at positions 524 to 776 of the family's 1533-position model. The record is from RNAcentral.
UACAGAGGUCUCGAGCGUUAGGCGGAAUCACUGGGCUUAAAGCGUGUGUAGGCGGAUCGUUAAGUGCCCUGUGAAAUCCCACGGCUCAACCGUGGAACUGCUCGGCAUACUGGCGGUCUUGAGCAACCUAGGGGCGAGCGGAACAAAUGGUGGAGCGGUGAAAUGCGUAGAUAUCAUUUGGAACGCCAAUGGUGAAAACAGCUCGCUGGGGGUUUGCUGACGCUGAGACACGAAAGCCAGGGGAGCAAACGGG